AAUGAACGCUGGCGGCGUGCUUAACACAUGCAAGUCGAGCGGUAAGGGCCCUUUCGGGGGUACACGAGCGGCGAACGGGUGAGUAACACGUGGGUGACCUGCCCUCAGCUCUGGGAUAAGCCUGGGAAACCGGGUCUAAUACCGGAUAUGACUCCAUGACGCAUGUUGUGGGGUGGAAAGCCUUGUGCGGCUGAGGAUGGGCCCGCGGCCUAUCAGCUUGUUGGUGGGGUGAUGGCCUACCAAGGCGACGACGGGUAGCCGGCCUGAGAGGGCGACCGGCCACACUGGGACUGAGACACGGCCCAGACUCCUACGGGAGGCAGGCAGUGGGGAAUCUUGCGCAAUGGGCGAAAGCCUGACGCAGCGACGCCGCGUGAGGGAUGACGGCCUGG
Molecule: ribosomal RNA, 392 nt
Filed under: uncultured bacterium
Lineage: Bacteria
Description: bacterial SSU rRNA
Rfam family: Bacterial small subunit ribosomal RNA
Source: RNAcentral